CCUACGGGGGGCUGCAGUCGAGAAUCUUCGGCAAUGGGCGCAAGCCUGACCGAGCGACGCCGCGUGGAGGACGAAGGCCUUCGGGUUGUAAACUCCUGUCGAGGGGGAGGAAGGCGCAAGCUUGACCGAUCCCUGGAGGAAGCACGGGCUAAGUUCGUGCCAGCAGCCGCGGUAAGACGAACCGUGCGAACGUUAUUCGGAAUCACUGGGCUUAAAGCGCGUGUAGGCGGGUCGCCACGUCGGAUGCUGAAAUCCCACGGCUCAACCGUGGAACGGGCACCGAUACGAGCGACCUGGAGGGAGGUAGGGGGGGCUGGAACUUCCGGUGGAGCGGUGAAAUGCGUUGAGAUCGGAAGGAACGCCCGUGGCGAAAGCGAGCCCCUGGACCUUUUCUGACGCUGAGACGCGAAAGCUAGGGGAGCGAACGGGAUUAGAUACCCCAGUAGUC
RNAcentral lists this ribosomal RNA (448 nucleotides) under uncultured Singulisphaera sp. RNAcentral's name for it is "bacterial SSU rRNA". It matches the Rfam family "Bacterial small subunit ribosomal RNA", at positions 338 to 795 of the family's 1533-position model. Lineage: Bacteria; Pseudomonadati; Planctomycetota; Planctomycetia; Isosphaerales; Isosphaeraceae. The record is from RNAcentral.